This 355-nucleotide long non-coding RNA is filed under the name Nicotiana benthamiana. RNAcentral describes it as "long non-coding RNA (NBEN_LNC030713)". Lineage: Eukaryota; Viridiplantae; Streptophyta; Magnoliopsida; Solanales; Solanaceae. The record is from RNAcentral.
CCUCAGCCUCGCUUCUCGCAUCUUCUCAUCCACCGGGGCCACCCACACCUUCUCUCGAAUAACUUCAUUCUUAAUCUUAUCUAACCUGGUAAGCCUGCACAUCCACCUGAGCAUCCUCAUCUCCGCAACUUUCAUCCUCUGAACGUGAGAGUUCUUCACUGGCCAGCACUCUGCCCCAUACAACAUGGAAGGCCUAACCACAGCUCCAUAAAAUUUCCCCUUGAGUUUCUGUGGAACUUUCUUGUCACACAGGUCUCCUGAUGCAAGCCUCCACUUUGACCACCCCGCUCCUAUACGAUGAGUGACGUCCCCGUCAAUCUCUCCGUCCCCCUGAAUCACAGACCCAAGAUAUNNN